Molecule: ribosomal RNA, 741 nt
Filed under: uncultured bacterium
Lineage: Bacteria
Description: bacterial SSU rRNA
Rfam family: Bacterial small subunit ribosomal RNA
Source: RNAcentral
AGCGGCGGACGGGUGAGUAACACGUGGGUAACCUGCCCAAGAGACUGGGAUAACACCUGGAAACAGAUGCUAAUACCGGAUAACAACACUAGACGCAUGUCUAGAGUUUGAAAGAUGGUUCUGCUAUCACUCUUGGAUGGACCUGCGGUGCAUUAGCUAGUUGGUAAGGUAACGGCUUACCAAGGCAAUGAUGCAUAGCCGAGUUGAGAGACUGAUCGGCCACAUUGGGACUGAGACACGGCCCAAACUCCUACGGGAGGCAGCAGUAGGGAAUCUUCCACAAUGGACGAAAGUCUGAUGGAGCAACGCCGCGUGAGUGAAGAAGGGUUUCGGCUCGUAAAGCUCUGUUGGUAGUGAAGAAAGAUAGAGGUAGUAACUGGCCUUUAUUUGACGGUAAUUACUUAGAAAGUCACGGCUAACUACGUGCCAGCAGCCGCGGUAAUACGUAGGUGGCAAGCGUUGUCCGGAUUUAUUGUGCGUAAAGCGAGUGCAGGCGGUUCAAUAAGUCUGAUGUGAAAGCCUUCGGCUCAACCGGAGAAUUGCAUCAGAAACUGUUGAACUUGAGUGCAGAAGAGGAGAGUGGAACUCCAUGUGUAGCGGUGGAAUGCGUAGAUAUAUGGAAGAACACCAGUGGCGAAGGCGGCUCUCUGGUCUGCAACUGACGCUGAGGCUCGAAAGCAUGGGUAGCGAACAGGAUUAGAUACCCUGGUAGUCCAUGCCGUAACGAUGAGUGCUAAGUGU